GCGGCGUGCUUAAUACAUGCAAGUCGUGCGAGAAAGUACCCUUCGGGGUGCGAGUAGAGCGGCAAACGGGUGAGUAACACGUAGUGUAACCUACCUCUAAAUCUGGAAUAACUCUGCCAACGCGGAGCUAAUACCGGAUGUGGUCACGAUGCUGCAUGGUAUUGUGACUCAAGGUGACCUCUCCUUGGCAGUUACCGUGUAGAGAUGGGCUUGCGGACCAUUAGCUUGUUGGUGACGUAACGGCUCACCAAUGCUACGAUGGAUAGCCGGCCUACGAGGGUGAUCGGCCACAUUGCGACUGAGAUACGGCCCAGACUCCUACGGGACGCAGCAGUAGGGAAUUUUGCGCAAUGGACGAAACUCUGACGCAGCAACGCCGCGUGAGGGAUGACGGCCUUCGGGUUGUAAACCUCUGUUGACUGGGAAGAAAAGCUUAGUGGUCAAUAUCCACAGAGCCCGAUGGUACCACUCGAUGAAGCUCCGGCUAAGUACGUGCCAGCAGCCGCGGUAGUACGUAGGGGGCUAGCGUUGUUCGGAAUCACUGGGCGUACCGGGAGUGUAGGCGGACCGGUACGUAAGGAGUUAAAUGUACGGGCUCAACCCGUGAUCUGCUUUCAAUACUGUCGGUCUUGAGUAUGGGAGAGGGCGAUGGAAUUCCAGGUGUACCGCUGGAAUGCGUAGAUAUCUGGAAGAGCACCAGUUGCGAAUGCGGUCUCCUGGACCAAUACUGACGCUGAUGCUCGAAAGCUGGGGGAGCGAACAGGAUUAGAUACCCUGGUAGUCCCAGCCGUAAACGAUGGACACUAGUUGCCGGAGGAGUCAAUCCCUUCGCUGACGAAGCUAACGCAGUAAGUGUCACGCCUGGGGAGCACGCUCGCAACGGGCGAAACUCAAAGGACUUGACGGGGGCCCGCACAAGCGGUGGAGCAUGUGCUUUAAUUCGAUGCAACGCGAAGAACCUGACCUGGGUUUGACAUGGGGGUGAAAGUUUCCAGAGAUGGAAGCCUUUCCUUCGGGUACACCCCACACAGGUGCUGCAUGGUUGUCGUCAGCUCGUGUCGUGAGAUGAUGGGUUAAGUCCCGCAACGAGCGCAACCCCUGCCCUUAGUUGCCAUCAGGUAAAGCUGGGAACUCUAAGGGGACAGCUUGGUAUAACCAGGAGGAAGGUGGGGAUGACGUCAAAUCAUCAUGGCUCUUA
RNAcentral lists this ribosomal RNA (1198 nucleotides) under uncultured organism. RNAcentral describes it as "bacterial SSU rRNA". It matches the Rfam family "Bacterial small subunit ribosomal RNA", at positions 39 to 1204 of the family's 1533-position model. The record is from RNAcentral.